CUAACAGAAAAACUGAGCAAUACAAAAUAAUAGUUCUGCUUUGGAUCAGACUGAAAAUUCUGUUUAGACAAUUCCAGGCGUUAAGUGCUGCAACAAUAGAGCUUAAUGUGUAACCUGGUUUUAUACUUUUCCUGUGUCAGCAGUUGGCAAAAGGAUACUGUCAAUAAGGAUCGCUGCGAGAGAGGUGAGAAAAGAACAAGACAAAGAGAACAGGUGACUGUGUCUGCAUAUGGCUAUCUUCUUUCUUCUCCUAGUAGUAAUAUGUGCUUGUUCCUAGAUGUGGCUGGUUCACCAGCUACGGCCUCUGCUGGACAGAGAUGAUCCAGCCACAGUAAUUCAUACUCUGGUAACUUCCAGAUUGGACUACUGUAAUAUGAUCUGUGUGGGGCUGCCCUUGAAGAUGAUUCAGAAGCUGCAACUGGUACAGAAUGCAGCAGCUAAACUGGUAACUGGCACAGCUAUCUGAACGCACAUCACACUGCUCUGAAAAGAGCUGCAUGGGGUACCAGUUUGCUACUGUGCCCAAUACAAGGUGUUAACUUUAACCUAUAAGGCUAAAUGGCUUGGGUGUCAAGUAUCUAAAGGAACACUGUCUUCCAUAUUGACCUGCCCAUGCCUUAAGAUCUGCAGGGGAGGCUUUCUUGGUUAUACCCCAGCUUCACUAAUGAAAGGGAUGGGGUCUUGGGCCUUUUUGGUGGAAAGCUCCAUACUAUGGAAUAACCUACCACUGAGGUGCACCAGGCACCUUCACUACUAACAUCCAGAAGAUCAGUGAAGAUGCACUUAUUUGCCCUGACGUUUGCCUAAGGAAACAUCUUCCCCUUCACACUUUCA
This 834-nucleotide long non-coding RNA is filed under the name Salvator merianae (Argentine black and white tegu). RNAcentral's name for it is "lncRNA (ENSSMRG00000021989.1)". Lineage: Eukaryota; Metazoa; Chordata; Lepidosauria; Squamata; Teiidae. The record is from RNAcentral.